AAUUCCACUCAAACAUCUUGAUAAAAUGCAGAAUCUGAUUCACUAAGCCUGGGCCAGAGGUCCUGUUUUUCUAACUAGUUUUUAGAUAGUGACAAU
This 96-nucleotide microRNA precursor is filed under the name Marmota monax (woodchuck). The record is from RNAcentral. Lineage: Eukaryota; Metazoa; Chordata; Mammalia; Rodentia; Sciuridae.